CCACGGGUGGCAGCAGUGGGGAAUCUUCCGCAAUGGACGAAAGUCUGACGGAGCAACGCCGCGUGAGUGAUGACGGCCUUCGGGUUGUAAAGCUCUGUUAAUCGGGACGAAAGGCCUUCUUGCGAAUAGUGAGAAGGAUUGACGGUACCGGAAUAGAAAGCCACGGCUAACUACGUGCCAGCAGCCGCGGUAAUACGUAGGUGGCAAGCGUUGUCCGGAAUUAUUGGGCGUAAAGUGCGCGCAGGCGGAUAGGUCAGUCUGUCUUAAAAGUUCGGGGCUUAACCCCGUGAUGGGAUGGAAACUGCCAAUCUAGAGUAUCGGAGAGGAAAGUGGAAUUCCUAGUGUAGCGGUGAAAUGCGUAGAUAUUAGGAAGAACACCAGUGGCGAAGGCGACUUUCUGGACGAAAACUGACGCUGAGGCGCGAAAGCCAGGGGAGCGAACGGGAUUAGAUACCCCUGUAGUC
Molecule: ribosomal RNA, 464 nt
Filed under: uncultured Veillonella sp.
Lineage: Bacteria; Bacillati; Bacillota; Negativicutes; Veillonellales; Veillonellaceae
Description: bacterial SSU rRNA
Rfam family: Bacterial small subunit ribosomal RNA
Source: RNAcentral